Molecule: ribosomal RNA, 440 nt
Filed under: uncultured bacterium FukuS110
Lineage: Bacteria; Pseudomonadati; Pseudomonadota; Alphaproteobacteria
Description: bacterial SSU rRNA
Rfam family: Bacterial small subunit ribosomal RNA
Source: RNAcentral
CCUACGGGAGGCAGCAGUGGGGAAUAUUGGACAAUGGGCGCAAGCCUGAUCCAGCCAUGCCGCGUGAGUGAUGAAGGCCUUAGGGUUGUAAAGCUCUUUUACCCGGGAAGAUAAUGACGGUACCGGGAGAAUAAGCCCCGGCUAACUUCGUGCCAGCAGCCGCGGUAAUACGAAGGGGGCUAGCGUUGUUCGGAUUUACUGGGCGUAAAGCGCACGUAGGCGGAUCUUUAAGUCAGAGGUGAAAUCCCAAGGCUCAACCUUGGAACUGCCUUUGAUACUGGGGAUCUCGAGUCCGGGAGAGGUGAGUGGAACUGCGAGUGUAGAGGUGAAAUUCGUAGAUAUUCGCAAGAACACCAGUGGCGAAGGCGGCUCACUGGCCCGGAACUGACGCUGAGGUGCGAAAGCGUGGGGAGCAAACAGGAUUAGAUACCCCAGUAGUC